GCGUGAGUGAAGAAGGCCUUAGGGUUGUAAAGCUCUUUCGGCGGGGAAGAUGAUGACGGUACCCGCAGAAGAAGCCCCGGCUAACUCCGUGCCAGCAGCCGCGGUAAUACGGAGGGGGCUAGCGUUGUUCGGAAUUACUGGGCGUAAAGGGCGCGUAGGCGGUUCGGUAAGUUAGGCGUGAAAGGCCCGGGCUCAACCCGGGAACUGCGCUUAAGACUGCCGGGCUAUGAGUCCGGGAGAGGAUGGCGGAAUUCCCAGUGUAGAGGUGAAAUUCGU
This 276-nucleotide ribosomal RNA is filed under the name uncultured bacterium. Its description in RNAcentral is "partial 16S ribosomal RNA". It matches the Rfam family "Bacterial small subunit ribosomal RNA", at positions 399 to 691 of the family's 1533-position model. The record is from RNAcentral.